CAGCAGCCGCGGUAAUACGGAGGGCGCGAGCGUUACCCGGAUUCACUGGGCGUAAAGGGCGUGUAGGCGGCCUGGGGCGUCCCAUGUGAAAGACCACGGCUCAACCGUGGGGGAGCGUGGGAUACGCUCAGGCUAGACGGUGGGAGAGGGUGGUGGAAUUCCCGGAGUAGCGGUGAAAUGCGCAGAUACCGGGAGGAACGCCGAUGGCGAAGGCAGCCACCUGGUCCACCCGUGACGCUGAGGCGCGAAAGCGUGGGGAGCAAACCGGAUUAGAUACCCGGGUAGUCCACGCCCUAAACGAUGCGCGCUAGGUCUCUGGGUCUCCUGGGGGCCGAAGCUAACGCGUUAAGUGCGCCGCCUGGGGAGUACGGCCGCAAGGCUGAAACUCAAAGGAAUUGACGG
Molecule: ribosomal RNA, 402 nt
Filed under: uncultured bacterium
Lineage: Bacteria
Description: bacterial SSU rRNA
Rfam family: Bacterial small subunit ribosomal RNA
Source: RNAcentral